GAACCGCCUCCCACUAGCUGAGGCCACUGGGGCAAGUAACAACCCAUCGGAACCAUUACAGGUGGACCUACAGCCUGUCUGCGGAACAUCAUGCCAAAAACCCCACCUAUCAACCAGUCUAGGACUUGCCAUCCUGAAUGGUCAGAACAGAAUGGAGCAGCUAUUCCUGGACACUCUGGGGAAUCGAAGAACUGUGCAGGUGAAGCUCCAAGACAUCCAGGGCCACCUGGAUGGCCUGCAGAAACAACAGGACUGCUUACUGCAAGCCCUGAACGAUUGUCGUGACAGCCAUAACGUUCUGGAUGUGUGUAAGUUGCAGAAGCAAAUGGAAGCCAUCUUUUCCCACCAGCAAGUGCUACAGACAUCAGUGCAGCAGAUCCUGGCAAUACUGGGCCUGGAAGAGAGCCGGCCAUAAGGAACUGUGUUGUCCCCCAUCUGUUCAUUCUCCCAACCCACCUUGUCUCCACUACCAAUCCUUCUACACCUUGCACACUCCCCCUCUCCAAUUGAAACAGAGGUUUUUUGUUUUGUUUUUUUAAAUACAGUUCCUUUUGAGGUGGGUUUGGUUUUCCAGACCUAGCUUUGUAUCAUCAGGCUUACCUAUUGGCUUGUACUAAAUUCUGGUCCUUUUCUGCUCCCUCUGAACUGCCAUCAUGGUCAGUUCUGGAAACCUUAUGGUUAGAACCUCUUCCCAAAUGGAUAGCACUCGGUUCUCGCCAUACCAAAAUAAGCAACCCCCCUCUUACAAUUUUGUCUGCUAGAGAGACGUGGCGUAUAAUAUCACGUCAAUUACAGUUUGAUCCAUUCUCUCAUGCAAAAUUGACUAUAUGGGGAAAUCCAGAUUUAAGAACUGAAAGGAAAGCAUUUCUGUGGAGGACAUGGACGGAUAAGAUGAUUUUUACUCUGGAUCAACUAAUAGGCUCAGACGAUGAGUUUUUGCCUUUUUCAGACUUGUGUGUUAAAUAUAAUUUAUCUGCUAUGGCCCAGUGGCAAUACUUGCAACACCUGCUGGAAUCUAGGUUUGGUCCAGUUGCUUUUACAGCUUCGGAGCCUCCAGCACUGUUAGAAACACUUAAAACAGCUGAACUGACACGUUGAUCCACAACGCACAUAUAUAAGUAUUUAGUAGCAGUAAGUAAUAUGAUACCCAUGUUGGAUCCUGGAAUGGAUCAGUUUUACUUUAUUCCUGAGCUUUAGCAUGCCCACUGACUGAAGACAUGAAGAAAUAUUUUUAAAUGUCAAGGCCACCAUCUGGACAAUGUAAAUAAUUUAUUAAAUCAACCUCUAUGUCAGUAAAAGCUCUGUUUUAAAACUUAA
Long non-coding RNA from Elgaria multicarinata webbii, 1317 nucleotides. RefSeq lists it as uncharacterized. The transcript has 2 exons. NCBI's taxonomy places the organism in Eukaryota, Metazoa, Chordata, Lepidosauria, Squamata, Anguidae. The record is from RefSeq and is a predicted model, not a curated record.